GUGCAUGUGCUUUACUCUUCACCUACACCUCAUAACUUUCUCCUCCCACAUUUACUCACCAUAAACCCUUCAUCUCAUUUCUUCAACUUUCAACCUUCUUGAGUGAUAUAUCCUCCCACAUUUACUCACCAUAAACCCUUCAUCUCAUUUCUUCAACUUUCAACCUUCUUGAGUGAUAUUAAAACCCAUUAAACCCCACUCAACCAUACUCUCUUAUUAACUCUCAAAACCCUAUUCUGAAAAUCCUUCUCAAUCAUCCUAGACUCUCCAUCUUCU
Molecule: long non-coding RNA, 276 nt
Filed under: Lathyrus oleraceus (garden pea)
Lineage: Eukaryota; Viridiplantae; Streptophyta; Magnoliopsida; Fabales; Fabaceae
Description: Pisum sativum (pea) long non-coding RNA (PSAT_LNC029700)
Source: RNAcentral